Molecule: ribosomal RNA, 2903 nt
Filed under: Escherichia coli
Lineage: Bacteria; Pseudomonadati; Pseudomonadota; Gammaproteobacteria; Enterobacterales; Enterobacteriaceae
Description: 23S ribosomal RNA
Rfam family: Bacterial large subunit ribosomal RNA
Source: RNAcentral
GGUUAAGCGACUAAGCGUACACGGUGGAUGCCCUGGCAGUCAGAGGCGAUGAAGGACGUGCUAAUCUGCGAUAAGCGUCGGUAAGGUGAUAUGAACCGUUAUAACCGGCGAUUUCCGAAUGGGGAAACCCAGUGUGUUUCGACACACUAUCAUUAACUGAAUCCAUAGGUUAAUGAGGCGAACCGGGGGAACUGAAACAUCUAAGUACCCCGAGGAAAAGAAAUCAACCGAGAUUCCCCCAGUAGCGGCGAGCGAACGGGGAGCAGCCCAGAGCCUGAAUCAGUGUGUGUGUUAGUGGAAGCGUCUGGAAAGGCGCGCGAUACAGGGUGACAGCCCCGUACACAAAAAUGCACAUGCUGUGAGCUCGAUGAGUAGGGCGGGACACGUGGUAUCCUGUCUGAAUAUGGGGGGACCAUCCUCCAAGGCUAAAUACUCCUGACUGACCGAUAGUGAACCAGUACCGUGAGGGAAAGGCGAAAAGAACCCCGGCGAGGGGAGUGAAAAAGAACCUGAAACCGUGUACGUACAAGCAGUGGGAGCACGCUUAGGCGUGUGACUGCGUACCUUUUGUAUAAUGGGUCAGCGACUUAUAUUCUGUAGCAAGGUUAACCGAAUAGGGGAGCCGAAGGGAAACCGAGUCUUAACUGGGCGUUAAGUUGCAGGGUAUAGACCCGAAACCCGGUGAUCUAGCCAUGGGCAGGUUGAAGGUUGGGUAACACUAACUGGAGGACCGAACCGACUAAUGUUGAAAAAUUAGCGGAUGACUUGUGGCUGGGGGUGAAAGGCCAAUCAAACCGGGAGAUAGCUGGUUCUCCCCGAAAGCUAUUUAGGUAGCGCCUCGUGAAUUCAUCUCCGGGGGUAGAGCACUGUUUCGGCAAGGGGGUCAUCCCGACUUACCAACCCGAUGCAAACUGCGAAUACCGGAGAAUGUUAUCACGGGAGACACACGGCGGGUGCUAACGUCCGUCGUGAAGAGGGAAACAACCCAGACCGCCAGCUAAGGUCCCAAAGUCAUGGUUAAGUGGGAAACGAUGUGGGAAGGCCCAGACAGCCAGGAUGUUGGCUUAGAAGCAGCCAUCAUUUAAAGAAAGCGUAAUAGCUCACUGGUCGAGUCGGCCUGCGCGGAAGAUGUAACGGGGCUAAACCAUGCACCGAAGCUGCGGCAGCGACACUAUGUGUUGUUGGGUAGGGGAGCGUUCUGUAAGCCUGUGAAGGUGUGCUGUGAGGCAUGCUGGAGGUAUCAGAAGUGCGAAUGCUGACAUAAGUAACGAUAAAGCGGGUGAAAAGCCCGCUCGCCGGAAGACCAAGGGUUCCUGUCCAACGUUAAUCGGGGCAGGGUGAGUCGACCCCUAAGGCGAGGCCGAAAGGCGUAGUCGAUGGGAAACAGGUUAAUAUUCCUGUACUUGGUGUUACUGCGAAGGGGGGACGGAGAAGGCUAUGUUGGCCGGGCGACGGUUGUCCCGGUUUAAGCGUGUAGGCUGGUUUUCCAGGCAAAUCCGGAAAAUCAAGGCUGAGGCGUGAUGACGAGGCACUACGGUGCUGAAGCAACAAAUGCCCUGCUUCCAGGAAAAGCCUCUAAGCAUCAGGUAACAUCAAAUCGUACCCCAAACCGACACAGGUGGUCAGGUAGAGAAUACCAAGGCGCUUGAGAGAACUCGGGUGAAGGAACUAGGCAAAAUGGUGCCGUAACUUCGGGAGAAGGCACGCUGAUAUGUAGGUGAGGUCCCUCGCGGAUGGAGCUGAAAUCAGUCGAAGAUACCAGCUGGCUGCAACUGUUUAUUAAAAACACAGCACUGUGCAAACACGAAAGUGGACGUAUACGGUGUGACGCCUGCCCGGUGCCGGAAGGUUAAUUGAUGGGGUCAGCGCAAGCGAAGCUCUUGAUCGAAGCCCCGGUAAACGGCGGCCGUAACUAUAACGGUCCUAAGGUAGCGAAAUUCCUUGUCGGGUAAGUUCCGACCUGCACGAAUGGCGUAAUGAUGGCCAGGCUGUCUCCACCCGAGACUCAGUGAAAUUGAACUCGCUGUGAAGAUGCAGUGUACCCGCGGCAAGACGGAAAGACCCCGUGAACCUUUACUAUAGCUUGACACUGAACAUUGAGCCUUGAUGUGUAGGAUAGGUGGGAGGCUUGGAAGUGUGGACGCCAGUCUGCAUGGAGCCGACCUUGAAAUACCACCCUUUAAUGUUUGAUGUUCUAACGUUGACCCGUAAUCCGGGUUGCGGACAGUGUCUGGUGGGUAGUUUGACUGGGGCGGUCUCCUCCUAAAGAGUAACGGAGGAGCACGAAGGUUGGCUAAUCCUGGUCGGACAUCAGGAGGUUAGUGCAAUGGCAUAAGCCAGCUUGACUGCGAGCGUGACGGCGCGAGCAGGUGCGAAAGCAGGUCAUAGUGAUCCGGUGGUUCUGAAUGGAAGGGCCAUCGCUCAACGGAUAAAAGGUACUCCGGGGAUAACAGGCUGAUACCGCCCAAGAGUUCAUAUCGACGGCGGUGUUUGGCACCUCGAUGUCGGCUCAUCACAUCCUGGGGCUGAAGUAGGUCCCAAGGGUAUGGCUGUUCGCCAUUUAAAGUGGUACGCGAGCUGGGUUUAGAACGUCGUGAGACAGUUCGGUCCCUAUCUGCCGUGGGCGCUGGAGAACUGAGGGGGGCUGCUCCUAGUACGAGAGGACCGGAGUGGACGCAUCACUGGUGUUCGGGUUGUCAUGCCAAUGGCACUGCCCGGUAGCUAAAUGCGGAAGAGAUAAGUGCUGAAAGCAUCUAAGCACGAAACUUGCCCCGAGAUGAGUUCUCCCUGACCCUUUAAGGGUCCUGAAGGAACGUUGAAGACGACGACGUUGAUAGGCCGGGUGUGUAAGCGCAGCGAUGCGUUGAGCUAACCGGUACUAAUGAACCGUGAGGCUUAACCUU